RNAcentral lists this long non-coding RNA (261 nucleotides) under Panax ginseng (ginseng). Its description in RNAcentral is "long non-coding RNA (PGIN_LNC017696)". The record is from RNAcentral. Lineage: Eukaryota; Viridiplantae; Streptophyta; Magnoliopsida; Apiales; Araliaceae.
GGAUUCGUUAAGAUACUCCUCACCACAGAUGGAACAUAAUAAGGGGCGACAACAAACGCUUUUUAUCUUCAGAACAAAUGUUAGGGUGUGUGGGUGAAUGCCAACUACUAGCUUAUCACCGAGCUUGACUUUAUGAGGUGGACGAAGGCAAUUAGUAUGAAAAGAUUGAUCACAUUCACUACAAUGGUAGAGCCAAUAAUUUGGAUUUAUUUCUUCUUCGCAAAUUUCGCAAUAUAUUACGCCUUCAUGAGGGAAUGGAGG